CCGCCCUCCGUCCGGGGGGUGGCCAGCGCCCGCCAGAGGACCAUCGAACUCCGGUCAGUGAACGUUGCCGUCUGAAAAACAAUCAAUAAACUAAAACUUUCAACAACGGAUCUCUUGGUUCUGGCAUCGAUGAAGAACGCAGCGAAAUGCGAUAAGUAAUGUGAAUUGCAGAAUUCAGUGAAUCAUCGAAUCUUUGAACGCACAUUGCGCCCCUCGGUAUUCCGAGGGGCAUGCCUGUUCGAGCGUCAUUACAACCCUCAAGCUCUGCUUGGUGUUGGGCACCGCCCUUCCGCGGGCGCGCCUCAAAGACCUCGGCGGUGGCGUCUUGCCUCGAGCGUAGUAGAAAACACCUCGCUUUGGAGCGCACGGCGCCGCCCGCCGGACGAACCUUUUGAACUUUCUCAAGGUUGACCUCGGAUCA
Molecule: ribosomal RNA, 421 nt
Filed under: Neoscytalidium dimidiatum
Lineage: Eukaryota; Fungi; Ascomycota; Dothideomycetes; Botryosphaeriales; Botryosphaeriaceae
Description: eukaryotic LSU rRNA
Rfam family: 5.8S ribosomal RNA (bases 95-248)
Source: RNAcentral